AUUCCCCUGCACCUAGCCUCCCAAGAAGGUCACUUCGCAGUGGCUGAACUCCUGGCCACCAAGGGGACGGACCUGGAAGCGAAGACCAACCAAGGAUGCCACUCCAUUGUACGUAGCGUCCUAUAAUGGUCACGUCGCUGUCGUUGAGUCACUGGUUGCCAAAGGAGCUGACCUCAACGCGAAGCGAAUAGAUGGAUGCACUCCAUUGUUCAUAGCGUCC
Penaeus vannamei (Pacific white shrimp) is the source of this 220-nucleotide non-coding RNA. The record is from RefSeq and is a predicted model, not a curated record. Lineage: Eukaryota; Metazoa; Arthropoda; Malacostraca; Decapoda; Penaeidae.